UGUGUGUAAACAUUGGCUAAAAUUAAAGA
RNAcentral lists this non-coding RNA (29 nucleotides) under Homo sapiens (human). The record is from RNAcentral. Lineage: Eukaryota; Metazoa; Chordata; Mammalia; Primates; Hominidae.